RNAcentral lists this ribosomal RNA (460 nucleotides) under uncultured bacterium. Its description in RNAcentral is "partial 16S ribosomal RNA". It matches the Rfam family "Bacterial small subunit ribosomal RNA", at positions 338 to 795 of the family's 1533-position model. The record is from RNAcentral.
CCUACGGGUGGCAACAGUGAGGAAUAUUGGUCAAUGGGCGGAAGCCUGAACCAGCCAAGUAGCGUGCAUGAUGACGGCCCUACGGGUUGUAAACUGCUUUUAUACGGGAAUAACGCGCCUUUCGUGUAGGGCUUUGCAUCUACCGUAUGAAUAAGGACCGGCUAAUUCCGUGCCAGCAGCCGCGGUAAUACGGAAGGUCCGGGCGUUAUCCGGAUUUAUUGGGUUUACAGGGAGCGUAGGCCGCAUGUCAAGCGUGCUGUGAAAUGUCCGGGCUCAACCUGGGCCUUGCAGCGCGAACUGGGGUGCUUGAGUCCGCGGAAAGCAGGCGGAAUUCGUCGUGUAGCGGUGAAAUGCUUAGAUAUGACGAAGAACCCCGAGUGCGAAGGCAGCUUGCUGCAGCGGAACUAACGCUGAUGCUCGAAAGCGCGGGUAUCGAACAGGAUUAGAUACCCUUGUAGUC